Long non-coding RNA from Dromaius novaehollandiae (emu), 2226 nucleotides. The record is from Ensembl. Lineage: Eukaryota; Metazoa; Chordata; Aves; Casuariiformes; Dromaiidae.
AGGGAUUUAGGCAAAUACUUAAAUAUGUCUGUAAGGGCUUUGCUGCGUUUGAGACUACAGAUUCACAAAGGUGUCACCCCAGGGUUCGCACCUCCAUCUUGCCAAGAGGGCUUUGGUCCUGAGAUAUGAGUAUUAGCAACUGAGCCUGGUACUUUGCAGAAGAGAUCUGAUAGGAAUACUGCUGAAUGCUUGCAUAAAUGCACGUUCUGUAGGUGCUCUUGUGAAGAAUGAUAGAAUUUAUUCUUACUUAUUCAAAAUGUUAAAAGGAUUAUUUUGAAGAUGAGAAUGCAAGACAUCAAGAGAAGGAACCCCUGGUGACUAUGGCAAUAUUUCAGAAGAAAGGAGUGUGUUUAAAUGACAUCAGGCUUAAGGGGAGAAUCAAGCCCAGCUUUCCUGGGUCCAACCACAAGGUUAUCAUAUGUACGGUCCUUCAACAAAAGAGGCAGCCUGCUCAGACAGGUUUUAUCCUACCACAGGACGGCUCAGGAACUGCUUAGCCCUCACAGGAGAAAGUCCUGUGGCUGCAGCAAUCAUAACAGAGGAGACCACAGAAUGCUACCAGGAGCAGCAUUAUUUGUACCAGGAAAAAAAAGGAAAAAAAGAAGAAAACCUUCACUCACAUCCACCACCAGGAAACAUGCUGGUACGGUGAAGAUAUGAUUGGUGCGUAUGCAGCUACAGAGUCAGAACUUUACUUAUAGAAGAACUUAACUGGUGGAAAAUUAAGUGAUUUAGAUAAGGUAGAAAAUCUGUAACAAGUAUCUUGCCUAAAAUGUGGAAGCCAAUUUAGUGGCAGGUGGGUACUUGGGUAUCAUUAUGGAUCCAAAAAUACGUGACAGUAUUUUAUGGUAAAUGGCAGGUGGCUUUUUUGUUGUAAAGUGUGCACGCAAGAGAUAAGUACAAGGUACUUGUUUAUAAAGUCAGCAAUGGGCGUAAGUACUGGUUUUGUUAUGCAGUUUCAUCAUAUAGUUUACAUAAAAUUAUAAAAGAUUAUAACAUUUCAUUACAGAAAUGGUUAUGCUAAGCCAGUUCUUUGAUAAUAUUUGCAUUCUUCUAAGUGUCUGCAUGAUGACAGCAACAGUAAUGCAAAUAGUGUGCUCGGGUGUUUUUCUUUUUCUUUCUUUUUUUUUUUUUUUUUUUUUUUUUGGUAAAUAGGCUAGAACCAGCUGUCAUUUUUAAUAGUGUAGACGUACAGUGCUUUACAGAGCCAGGGUAGAUAAUUUCUAGGCAGAUUGUUUCUUAGUUAUUCUUAGAAGAAGCAUAUGUGCUGCAUAGCAAUGCCAGGAAAUCACUUGCAGCAAGUAUAACAGUAGCAAAAAAAUACCUGCUAUUAAUUGGCACUUAUAAAUUUGAACUAUCUGUACAUUUUAGCCAGUGAUAUUACAGGUAAAAAUUAAUUUCAAUAGGAUAGUAAGCUAGUACUAAAUUGUGUAGGUUUAAGUGCUAAAACAGUGUUUCUGCAAAAUGCCUUUAGCAGGAAAUUUUUUGACAUCAAAAAACUAUAUGAAAUUCCUUACAUUAAUGAUGAAAAUUUCAGUGAAGUGAUUCAAGGGAUACUUCAGAAUAUUUCAGAAUUCAAAAUAGCUUGUUUGCUUAGAGUUCAUUUAAUGGUACAGUUUUCAUUCCCUAUUCAACUGAUCCCACUCCAAAUUUUCAAAACGGAUCGCUAUCUCUCUCAGGUAACCACGGUAUGAAAGAAAAGUAUGUCUUCAAAAUUAGUAAGCAUACACAAGGUAGGCAUCUCAUGCUAGCCAGCAAAAAAACUGACUAUAAGGGAAGUACUUAUAAAUAUAAUGAGAGUUUGCCAGUUUUCUCCCCCAGUAAUUUCUACAAGCUAAGACAAUGCAACUCAACAAUGAGACAAGGAGAAAGAACACAAAAGCUGCUUUCCGCAAACUGUAAAUGAGAAACUACAAAUAAUCAAGGAGAUGCUCUCUCUCGCCUUUCUCUGUAUUGCUCCUGCCCAAAACAUGAUCCAGUUUCUUCUUAUAUUCUUCCUCCAGCAAUCUUAAGGAGUAUUUAUUUAUUUUCCUCAGCAAACACAACAAUCAAAGAAAACUUGCAGGUUGCACACAAGGACAUUGGAAUAUGCGGAACCAAACAAAAAUUUUUUAACAAACAAACUAUGUAUAGGUAUAAGUAUGUAUGUAUAUGUACAUGUACAUGUACAUGUUUAUAUAUUUGCAUAUGUAUAUGUGUAUAUAAAUAAAAAUAAUAAUAAAAGCA